AAAGAAACCAACCGGGAUUGCCCCAGUAACGGCGAGUGAAGCGGCAAAAGCUCAAAUUUGAAAUCUGGCCCCUCCGGGGUCCGAGUUGUAAUUUGCAGAGGAUGCUUCGGGUGCGGCCCCCGUCUAAGUGCCCUGGAACGGGCCGUCAGAGAGGGUGAGAAUCCCGUCUUGGGCGGGGUGUCCGUGCCCGUGUGAAGCUCCUUCGACGAGUCGAGUUGUUUGGGAAUGCAGCUCUAAAUGGGUGGUAAAUUUCAUCUAAAGCUAAAUACUGGCCGGAGACCGAUAGCGCACAAGUAGAGUGAUCGAAAGAUGAAAAGCACUUUGAAAAGAGAGUUAAACAGCACGUGAAAUUGUUGAAAGGGAAGCGCUUGCGACCAGACUCGCCCGCGGGGUUCAGCCGGCACUCGUGCCGGUGUACUUCCCCGUGGGCGGGCCAGCGUCGGUUUGGGCGGCCGGUCAAAGGCCUCCGGAAUGUAUCGCCCUCCGGGGCGUCUUAUAGCCGGGGGUGCAAUGCGGCCAGCCCGGACCGAGGAACGCGCUUCGGCACGGACGCUGGCAUAAUGGUCGCAAACGAC
Molecule: ribosomal RNA, 575 nt
Filed under: Aspergillus conjunctus
Lineage: Eukaryota; Fungi; Ascomycota; Eurotiomycetes; Eurotiales; Aspergillaceae
Description: eukaryotic LSU rRNA
Rfam family: Eukaryotic large subunit ribosomal RNA
Source: RNAcentral